ACGGGAGGCAGCAGUGGGGAAUAUUGCACAAUGGGCGCAAGCCUGAUGCAGCGAUGCCGCGUGAGGGAAGAAGGUUUUCGGAUUGUAAACCUCUGUCAACAGGGACGAAAAUGACGGUACCUGUGAAGGAAGCUCCGGCUAACUACGUGCCAGCAGCCGCGGUAAUACGUAGGGAGCAAGCGUUAUCCGGAUUUACUGGGUGUAAAGGGUGCGUAGGCGGCAUAACAAGUCAGUCGUUUAAUUUCGGAGCUUAACUCCGAAUCGGCGAUUGAAACUGUUGAGCUAGAGUACAGGAGAGGUAAGCGGAAUUACUAGUGUAGAGGUGGAAUUCGUAGAUAUUAGUAAGAACACCAAUGGCGAAGGCAGCUUACUGGCCUGCAACAGACGCUGAGGCACGAAAGUGUGGGGAGCAAACAGGAUUAGAUACCCUGGUA
RNAcentral lists this ribosomal RNA (434 nucleotides) under uncultured Ruminococcus sp. Its description in RNAcentral is "partial 16S ribosomal RNA". It matches the Rfam family "Bacterial small subunit ribosomal RNA", at positions 341 to 792 of the family's 1533-position model. The record is from RNAcentral. Lineage: Bacteria; Bacillati; Bacillota; Clostridia; Eubacteriales; Oscillospiraceae.